RNAcentral lists this ribosomal RNA (2154 nucleotides) under Triticum aestivum (bread wheat). RNAcentral's name for it is "partial small subunit ribosomal RNA". The record is from RNAcentral. Lineage: Eukaryota; Viridiplantae; Streptophyta; Magnoliopsida; Poales; Poaceae.
AUGGCGGGUGGCGGCGGGGGAGGAGAGGUGAGGACGCCUCGGGAGAUGGAUCGGAAGCUGCAAGUUCCUUCCGAAGCAGAGAUCCUGAGCAUGGAGAUUGCAUCCCUGGCGAACUUGCUCAGGGAGAAGCAGUCUGACAUUCUUCAAUUCGACCCUGAGAUCGCGAGGAAGAUCAUGUCCCUGAGGAGCGAGAUCACGUCCGGAUUCAUAUCCAACUCCGAGCAUGUAUAUUUGCCCCACGGCGGUGAGGACGAGGGCGAGCGCCUAAACUGCUUAUUCAGUCAUAUAUUGCAACGGACGGAUGCCUUGUGCGACGAGAUGGCAUCCAUGGCAUCUAUUCUGGCCAAAAUUAGUGUCCCCGUUAUCUCCUAUUACAAGGUCUUCGAUCAGUUAAACGCCGCGCAGAGGUUAUCUAAGAUCUCCCUGGAUAUAUUACAUUCAACCGCGAAUGCAGAUAAAAAGAUGGCUGACCAAAAUGUUGAGGACCAGAGGACCGAGGAGGACAAAAGCAAAUCCAGCACCCACUGUUUUGAGAACCAGGGAACCAAGCAACAUGUGGAUGCAUCGGUAACAGAUCUGACAACGGGCCUUUGUAAACCAAACAUGGAAACGCCGCAGAUGGCUGCCUACUGUCCUGAUGGCCAGAUGACUGAUGAGGAGGAUGUACAUUUCGUGGCAGCGGAUCCUAUAAGUGGCCUUUGCGACCAGGCGACUGUCCACUCCUACGAGAACCAGAGUAACAAGGAGUACAUGGAGAUGAUUGAUCCCAUGACAGAUAAAGGCCAAUCAAGCACGGAGACGCAUGCGUCGAGGAUGAUGGACGGGGGCAAUUCAAGCAGCGAAGGCAAAUCAAGCAAUGAAGGCCAAUCAAGCACGGAGACACAUGCGUCGAGGAUGAUGGAUGAGGGCAAUUCAAGCAAUGAAGGCAAAUCAAGCAAUGAAAGCAAAUCAAGCACAAAGGCAGUGGUGAUGGUGCUGGAUUCCGAUGAGGAGCAUGAAGUGCGGGGUAUGACCAUGGAGAUGCGCAAAUAUUUGAAGAUGCUCGAAUGUGAGGAGGAGGACGAGGGGAAGAUGACCCCGGAGGAUUUAGCGAUGGCUGACCAAUUUGAGAAGUUGCUAUUAGAGAUGCAAGCCAACUUUCUCAAAGUCCAGGAGCAGGAUGAUAAGGACACGCCAAACUGGAUCUCUGUCUCACAUCAGGACGAGGCAGAGGAGAUGGAGAUGGAGGACAGGUUGUUUGCUAGACGCCGUAAAGGCUGGGAAUCUGCAUGGGGAGACCGCAGUGACUUCGAAGACAUGACCUUAUUGAGUCCUAUGCACUUUACACAUUGCACGCUGGGACUGAUCCCCUACACUGCUACCACUGUGAGCGCCUUGCAGAUCUACUCUGUCAAGAUUGUUGAAACAAAGGGAAAGUUGAAGUGGCCACUCUAUGUCUACGGGGUCGUCGCUGCCCGAGAUGCCGUAGAUCACAACCGUAACAUUCUCUUCGCUCGGCAAAGGGAUGACUACCAAGAACUCACUCUAGAGGAUCCUUUUUUGCACCUGACUGGCCCAUCUGGUGUGAUUGUGGCUGUGGACAAUGUUGACUUCGAAAUCCAACUCAAAGUAAAGGGCACAACAUGGUCUGGUGACAAAGCAUUGAUCAGUCACUUCCAGACUUACCCUGGUGAUCGUGAAGGUUCAGAUAGAGCGCUCUUUAGCAACUCCUUUUGCACGGUAGAGUUAAGCUUUGAGCGACUUACAGAAACCGUCCAAGCUACUAUCUUGAGUGUCCGUGUUGUUGAAGGGCGGCCAUCACCUUUUGAAUACGGCGGCCGGAUUAUGUGCUCCUCACCACCACAGGAAGUUAAGGACCCCCUAUCCAGGCAUGUUGUGUUGGUUGAUUCUCAUGAAUUUGAUGGAGAAAUGCCAAUGGGCUCAGCUGGUUACAUUGAUCUGUCAAGGCAAGUUGUUUCUGUAGAACUGGGACAUAACCUGCGAUUUGUCAUACAAGCUUACUCACAAUCUGGUGCCAUUGCUAGGCAAAGCCGUCUCACGUUUAGGACCAAAUAUUGCAACAUAAGUCGAGGUAUAUGUGAGAUUGGUGACUCUAAGGUGGAGAUUACUGUUGCUUGGUCCCAGCUUAUCAAGAACAAGAUGGAAAUCCUCUAA